AUUCAAAUAGUUUAUAAAAAUGUCGAUUUGUGGAGUCGAAGAUGCAGAAAUCUGUUUUGGAUA
This 63-nucleotide transfer RNA is filed under the name Eurynassa australis. Its description in RNAcentral is "tRNA-His". The record is from RNAcentral. Lineage: Eukaryota; Metazoa; Arthropoda; Insecta; Coleoptera; Cerambycidae.